Marchantia polymorpha subsp. ruderalis is the source of this 675-nucleotide non-coding RNA. The record is from the annotation of a GenBank genome assembly. Lineage: Eukaryota; Viridiplantae; Streptophyta; Marchantiopsida; Marchantiales; Marchantiaceae.
AAAUACUCUCAUAGUUCCAGCUAGCACCUUUUCUCCAAUAAAAUGAUACUGGAUGUCUAUGUGGUCGCUCCGGUCAUGCAUCUCAACACUUCUGCACGUUUGAAAGUCUUCAAGCUUCAUGCAUAAAAGAGAUGUAGAAAUCAAACACCCCCUCCAGUAAUACUUCUGCAUAUGCUAUUAUUUUUUUUUGUCAUCACCCUCUAGUAUGUGCUUCACUCUUAGCAGUCUUUCCCUUGUCAGUUCCUCUUACAAGUCUUAUUAAUCCAUCUUCCUCAAACUCGAAGCCGGUCCAUUGUGUACCUUUUUCCUUUGCUCUCGUCAGAAACUUAGCUCUUAACUUGGCAGUUCAAGCAACGUUCCCUUUCAGCCAGAUUAUUAUCUGUUCAAAAUGGCUGUCUACUUUUCCUUCGAGUUUCCACAAAACCACAGUGCUGGAUUCCAUCUGUACUCGACGUCGUGAAUGCAGGUGAUAAUGUUCCUACCUUCUGUACUACGUAAACAGCAAAUACUUUUCCCAGCUCUGCCAUUAUGUUGUUAAAACCAACAAACGCAUGAGUGAGUAGCUUUUUACUAGACUUCAGCCAAGUGCUUUUAUGCAAGAUCUGAACAUCAUCAUAGACAUUCCGUGUCAUUUUAUUGGGCAGCAGGUUCUAGCUGGAAGUAUGAGAAGUAUUU